CACAUUGGUUCUCAUAUGAUCAUCAAAGUUAAGCAAUGUUGAGCCUGGACAGUACUUAGAUGGGUGACCACUUGGGAAUACCAGGUGCU
Non-coding RNA from Acanthosepion pharaonis, 89 nucleotides. The record is from the annotation of a GenBank genome assembly. Lineage: Eukaryota; Metazoa; Mollusca; Cephalopoda; Sepiida; Sepiidae.